This 69-nucleotide transfer RNA is filed under the name Haliotis rubra (blacklip abalone). Its description in RNAcentral is "tRNA-Ser". The record is from RNAcentral. Lineage: Eukaryota; Metazoa; Mollusca; Gastropoda; Lepetellida; Haliotidae.
CGGGGGAAACCAGGGGUAGAACAGGGCUGCUAACUUUGUUUUGGGUGGUUCGGCCCAUCCUUCCCCCUA